CUACGGGGGGCAGCAGUGAGGAAUAUUGCACAAUGGGGGGAACCCUGAUGCAGCAACGCCGCGUGGAGGAUGACGCAUUUCGGUGUGUAAACUCCUUUUAUAUGUCAAGAAAAUGACGGUAGCAUAUGAAUAAGCACCGGCUAACUCCGUGCCAGCAGCCGCGGUAAUACGGAGGGUGCAAGCGUUACUCGGAAUCACUGGGCGUAAAGGACGCGUAGGCGGGUUGGAAAGUCAGGUGUGAAAUCCUACAGCUUAACUGUAGAACUGCACUUGAAACUUCUAAUCUAGAGUAUGGGAGGGGAGAUGGAAUUAGUGGUGUAGGGGUAAAAUCCGUAGAUAUCACCAGGAAUACCUAAAGCGAAGGCGAUCUCCUGGAACAUUACUGACGCUAAGGCGUGAAAGCGUGGGGAGCAAACAGGAUUAGAUACCCCGGUAGUC
This 438-nucleotide ribosomal RNA is filed under the name uncultured bacterium. RNAcentral describes it as "partial 16S ribosomal RNA". It matches the Rfam family "Bacterial small subunit ribosomal RNA", at positions 339 to 795 of the family's 1533-position model. The record is from RNAcentral.